This 301-nucleotide ribosomal RNA is filed under the name uncultured bacterium. RNAcentral describes it as "partial 16S ribosomal RNA". It matches the Rfam family "Bacterial small subunit ribosomal RNA", at positions 509 to 807 of the family's 1533-position model. The record is from RNAcentral.
CAGUAGCCACGGUAACACGGAGGGCGCAAGCGUUAAUCGGGAUUACUGGGCGUAAAGCGUGCGUAGGCGGUUCGUUAAGUCUGUUGUGAAAGCCCCGGGCUUAACCUGGGAAUGGCAAUGGAUACUGGCGAGCUAGAGUGUGUCAGAGGAUGGUGGAAUUCCCGGUGUAGCGGUGAAAUGCGUAGAGAUCGGGAGGAACAUCAGUGGCGAAGGCGGCCAUCUGGGACAACACUGACGCUGAGGCACGAAAGCGUGGGGAGCAAACAGGAUUAGAUACCCGCGUAGUCCCUGUCUCUUAUAC